CUUCACCGAGCCGAGCCACAGCGGACGCUGUCGGUCCCUGCCGUACGUGGCCAUCAGCGCCUGCGCCUC
This is an antisense RNA of 69 nucleotides. It matches the Rfam family "ASpks TB sRNA".